This 1085-nucleotide unclassified non-coding RNA is filed under the name Stegodyphus dumicola. RNAcentral's name for it is "dNA polymerase delta catalytic subunit-like, transcript variant X1". Lineage: Eukaryota; Metazoa; Arthropoda; Arachnida; Araneae; Eresidae. The record is from RNAcentral.
UAAUAUAGGUGUAUUUUCCGUACUUACUGAUCAGUAAAAAAAGAUAUGCUGGAUUAUAUUUCACAAAACCAGAAAUUCAUGAUAAAAUGGAUUGCAAAGGCAUUGAAACAGUCAGAAGGGAUAACUGUCCUUUAGUUGCUAAUCUUAUCAAUACCUGUUUAGAAAAACUUCUUAUUGACAGAGAUCCUAAAGCAGCUACUGAAUAUGCAAAACAGACCAUAUCUGAUUUGUUAUGCAAUCGAAUCGAUAUAUCACAGUUAGUGAUUACAAAAGAAUUAACUAAAACUGAUAAGGAAUAUGCUGCAAAACAAGCUCAUGUAGAAUUAGCCCACAGGAUGAAGAAGAGAGAUCCAGGAAGUGCUCCUAAUCUUGGGGACAGAGUGCCUUAUGUUAUUAUAGCUGCUAGUAAAAAAACUGCAGCAUAUUUAAAAUCUGAAGAUCCUAUCUAUGUGCUAGAAAAUAGUAUUCCUAUAGAUACACAGUAUUAUUUAGAAAACCAAAUAUCAAAACCAUUGCUUAGGAUUUUUGAACCUAUUCUUGGAGAAAAAGCAGAGUCCAUUUUGCUGUGUGGCGAUCACACACGAACGAAAACUGUUGUAACAUCGAAAGUUGGUGCUCUAUCUGCUUUUACAAAAAAGAGAAGUACCUGUAUUGGAUGCCGUUCUCUUUUAGACAAAGAUGAUGCUGCUGUGUGCAAUCACUGUAAAUGUCGUGAGGGUGAGAUAUAUCAAACUGAACAAUCAUACUGGCUCAAAUACAAGGUAACCUCACAUAUCAGAGUAUCUUAUACCUUUGUGGAUAUUUCACAUGAACGAAAAAUGGCUUAUUAGAACCUUCAAGUAUGUUAACUGAGUCACAACCCUUGGAACUCUACACGAAGCUAAGACACUAACGGCGUCAGACAGAGCCCAGCUAACGUUCAGAACUUGCCAGCCGUGCCUACAUCAGGCCUUUCAGGUUUGUUCUGAUCAGCAGGUCUGUCUCUAGAUAUCAUAUCUGAACUCAUUUGAAGAAAAGUUUGCUCGUCUAUGGACAGAAUGUCAAAGAUGUCAAGGCAGUUUGCAUGAAGAAGUUCUCUGUACCAG